CCCAAGGUCUGGGGUGCAGCUGGGAUCCCCCCAAACCAAGGAUGAGGCCCUCCCGAGCUCUCAGGCAUUGUUUCCGUUCUGUACACACAAGAGUCUUCCCUAAGAUGAUGCCCACACCUUACUUUUCAGAUCAUUAAAUAGCGCCAGGGGGGUCCUUUUGUACAAAAAAGGAGACCUGUCAGCUCUAUGACUUUGGAGUCCACGAUCCCUGCAGGUCUCGGAGCAGGGCACAUGGGUCUGCGAGAGCAGGGAGACCCUUGACCGGAGGGCCCAGGACCCUGAGGUCGGGGGAGCGCAGGCCUCAGUUUCCCAGCUCCAGAGGCAGCUUUGAGAGGGCGGAGAGAUGGUUGGUCCCGCCCCCUGCCGCCCAACCCGGCCCCCUGGCCCCCCGCCCCCCCACCUACUGCCGGUGUGGUGGGCGAGGCUUCAGCGUAGUCUCUUCUGGGCCCCGCCCGGCUCUGACGUUACGGUGGGCGGAGCCUUCCUCGCCCUGCUUUGGCUGUGGACGGCCCGGCCCCAGCCCUGACGUAACGGGGGCGGCCCCGCCGAGCCCCGCCCCUUCCCUGACGUCGCGGUGGGCGGAGCGCCACCCCCGGGCCUGGCAGUGCUGUUCGGUGCGGCGGAGCGCGCGGAGUGAUCGGCGCGGCCAUGCGGAAACCGAACCCGAGCCCAAGCCUGAGCCCGAACCCGAGCCCGAUCUCCGGCGCGGCGCGGCUCCCCCGACGGAGGCGACGGGCGCGGGGCGCGCUCUGAGGCCUGGGGAUGCGCCGCCGCCUCGACCAUGGGCGCCGUCGCCUCCCGGAGGAGGGCGCUGCGGAGCGAGGCCAUGUCCUCGGUGGCGGCCAAAGUGCGAGCAGCCCGAGCGUUUGGCGAGUACCUGUCCCAGAGUCACCCCGAGAAUCGAAACGGUGCAGACCACCUGCUGGCUGACGCCUACUCUGGCCACGACGGGUCCCCCGAGAUGCAGCCUGCCCCCCAGAACAAGCGCCGCCUCUCCCUCAUUUCCAACGGCCGCUAUGAGGACAGCCUCCCGGAGGAGGCCGUCAGUGGGAAGCCGGCCGGCGAGGGCCCCCAGCCCCGUGUGUAUACCAUCUCCGGGGAGCCGGCCCUGCUUCCCGGCCCGGAGACCGAGGCCAUCGAGCUGGCUGUGGUGAAGGGGCGGCAGCAGCGGGAGCGGCACCCCCGCCACCAUAGCCAGCCCCUGCGCACCAGCCCGGGCGGCAGUCGUGAGGACGUCAGCAGACCCUGCCAGAGCUGGGCGGGCAGCCGCCAGGGCUCCAGGGAAUGUCCUGGAUGUGCCCAGCUCGCCCCCAGUCCUUCCCCUCAGGCCUUUGGGCUGGACCAACCGCCUCUGCCUGAGGCCGCCAGCCGCCGCAAGAAGCUGGAGAGGAUGUACAGCGUUGACCGUGUGUCUGAUGACAUCCCCAUCCGUACCUGGUUCCCCAAGGAAAACCUCUUCAGUUUCCAGACAGCAACCACAACUAUGCAAGCGGUGUUCAGGGGCUACGCGGAGAGGAAGCGCCGGAAACGGGAGAAUGAUUCCGCGUCUGUAAUCCAGAGGAACUUCCGCAAACACCUGCGCAUGGUCGGCAGCCGGCGGGUGAAGGCCCAGACGUUCGCCGAGCGGCGCGAGCGGAGCUUCAGCCGGUCCUGGAGCGACCCCACCCCCAUGAAAGCCGACACCUCCCACGACUCCCGAGACAGUAGUGACCUGCAGAGCUCGCAUUGCACCUUGGGUGAGGCCUUUGAGGACCUGGACUGGGAGACGGAGAGGGGCCUGGAGGCUGUAGCCUGUGACACUGAGGGCUUCGUGCCACCCAAGGUCAUGCUCAUCUCCUCUAAAGUGCCCAAAGCUGAGUACAUCCCCACCAUCCUCCGCAGGGACGACCCCUCCAUCAUUCCCAUCCUCUACGACCACGAGCAUGCCACCUUCGAGGACAUUCUGGAGGAGAUAGAGAAGAAGCUGAACGUCUACCACAAGGGGGCCAAAAUCUGGAAGAUGCUGAUUUUCUGCCAGGGCGGCCCAGGACACCUGUACUUGCUCAAGAACAAGGUGGCCACCUUUGCCAAAGUGGAGAAGGAAGAGGACAUGAUCCACUUCUGGAAACGGUUGAGCCACUUGAUGAGCAAAGUGAACCCAGAGCCGAACGUCAUCCACGUCAUGGGCUGCUACGUCCUGGGGAACCCCAACGGGGAGAAGCUGUUCCAGAACCUCAGGACUCUCAUGACCCCUUACAGGGUCACCUUCGAGUCCCCCCUGGAGCUGUCAGCCCAAGGUGCCAGUCCCACCCCCAUGGGGCUGACAUGGAAGGAACGGGCCUUCACAGCCCUGCUGGGGGCUGCAGCGGUCUCAGGCCUCACCACGCUCAUUCUCUUCCUGGUGGAGGCCACCAACGUCCUCCUGCCCGCAGACACCAAGUUCGGGAUCGUGUUCGACGCUGGGCCCUCCCACACAUCACUCUUUGUGUAUCAGUGGCUGGCAAACAAGGAGAAUGACACAGGUGUGGUCAGCCAGGCCCUGGCCUGCCGGGCGAAAGGGCCUGGCAUCUCUUCCUACGCCUCUGACCCUGCACAGGCUGGCGAGAGCCUGCAGGGCUGCCUGGAGGAGGCGCUGGCACUGAUCCCAAAGGCCAAGCGUCAGCAAACGCCCAUGUUCCUGGGGGCCACAGGCGGCAUGAGGCUGCUCAGCCAGAAGAACAGCUCUCAGGCGGAGGACGUCUUUGCAGCGGUCAGCCAGGCCCUGAGCCGGUCUCCCGUGGCCUUCUGGGGCGCUGAGCUCCUGGCUGGGCAGGACGAAGGGGCCUUAGGCUGGGUCACCAUCAACUACGUCCUGGGCCUGCUGGUACAGUACUCCUUCUCCGGAGAAUGGAUCCAGCCUCUGGAGGGGACGUUGGUGGGCGCCCUGGACAUGGGUGGGGCCUCCACCCAGAUCACCUUUGUGCCUGGGGGCCCCAUCCUGGACACCACCACCCAGGCCACCUUCCGCCUCUUUGGCACAGAACACAGCGUCUACACCCACAGCUACCUCUGCUUCGGGCGUGACCAGAUGCUGAACCGGCUCCUGGCCGGGCUGGUGCAGGUGGGCUGCUCUGCGGGAGGGGGGCGGGGCACCCUGCCAGGCAGGUGCUCAGAGGUGCCCCCACCCUCCCCGCAGAGCAGCCCGAGCCUCCUGGUGCGACACCCCUGCUACCACAGCGGCUACCGGGGCACGCUGGCCCUGGCCCCCCUGUACGGGUCGCCCUGCGUCCAGGCCGCAGCCCCCCGAGACCUCGGCCAGAACCUCACUGUGGAGGGGACGGGGAACCCCGGGGCCUGUGUCGCCGCCAUCCGGGGUCUCUUCAACUUCUCCAGCUGCGACGGCCGAGGAGACUGCGCCUUCGACAGCGUCUACCAGCCCCCCGUGCGGGGACAGUUCUACGUGAGCCCCCGCGGCCUGCCCUCAGGGCCAAGCUUCCCCUCGGGGCCCCAGGGCCCGAGCCCAGGGGGCCCUUGGGGAGCCUGGGACCCCAGGUGGGGUGGGGCGGGGCGGGGCGGGGCGGAACCUGGCUCAUCCUGGGCCCCCCGCCUUGCGCCCUGCCGGGCACUUCACCCUCUCCCCCAGGCCUUCUCCAACUUCUACCACACCUUCCACUUCCUGAACCUCACCUCCAGGCCGCCGCUGGCCACGGCCAAUGCCACCAUCUGGGAGUUCUGCCAGAGGCCCUGGAAGCUGGUGGGUGGAUGCGGGCCGCCCGCCCCCCACCUGGGCCCCAGCUCCCUGGGCUGCAGACUCCACCGAGCGGGGACCCCGUCCCAGGCAGUGUGGCCGGGGGGCUGGGGGGCUCCAGGCAGGAGACCCAGGGGCACGCCUCCGAGGGGGGCCAGCCUUGGGGGCCCAGGAGGUGAGGCCUCAUGGGGCUCCUGGCCUCCCGGGCCCCCAGGUGGAGGCGAGCUCGCCCGGGCAGGACGGCCAGCUGCGCGACUACUGUGCCUCGGGCCUGUACAUCCUCACACUCCUGCUCGAGGGCUACGGGUUCAGCCAGGAGACCUGGGGCGGCAUCGAGUUCCGCGAGCAGAAGCAGUCAUCUCCUGUGAUAACAGGACUCCAAGUUGAUGGAUUAAUGCGGCUCAGAGCCCCCUCCUCCACGCAGCCCUCCAGCAAAGACGCACGACACCUAGCCCUCGGGUGACCGGGGGGGUGUCAGGCCCGGCUGAGGGCCACCAGCUGGAAAGCAGAGUGCAUCUUCCUUUGUGCACAGGGAGCCUCCUUUCCCGCCUUUGGGGCGAGCUGCUCCCCGUCAUCCUGUGACUUUGCUGCCCUGCCCUGACCCAGGGUGGGCAGAGGUGGCCCAGGCCAGCCUGCCUCGGGCCUCCCCAGGGUCUUGCUCUCUGAGGCAGAGAUGCAGGGAGGACACAGAAACACAAAACCCAGGAGAUGCUGAGGCCAGAAGGGCGAGUCGAAGGCGGAGCUGGAAGUUGGCCACUCCUCGCUGGAAGAAGCCGACAGCCAUGCAGGCAUCCUUGGUCACUGCCUGGUCAAAUGCCUGGGGACAAAAAUGCCCAUGGAACACCCAGGUCUGUAACCCCGUCACUCCUGUGUCACAGAUGCGGUCCAGGCGGAUGCCCAGCAAUGGAUCAAGGAAUCGUGUUGGCCCCCAUCAUGGCCACCUGCAGGAGAAGGUCUCCCGCGCCCACCCAGGGGGCCUCUGGGUCUGAGGCUGGGUGCACGCGUCACGGCCACAACCCAAAGCCGCCUGGGCUCCCAAGGUGCCCUGUGAUGCACUCAGGGGCAGUUCGGUGGCAGCACAAACCAACCUGUUUACCAUGAGGACAAGGAAACACUCCAUCGCGUUAAUAAUAGUUACCUUCGGCGGGGGGGGGGGGGAGUUAUGCAAGGUUUUUGUCUUUUUUAAAUCCUAGUUUUGGUAGUUCGUACAAAUUGACUCACUUCUCAUCUAUUAGAAUCAGAAAGAGCAAAAACGCUAAAGUCUUAACAUGUGUGUAAAACACAGCUCUUCCCGAAACUAGACUCAGAGAUGACAUCAUCUGUUCCUAAGGAGGACAGCAGCCACCAGUUAAACACAAGCAAGAGGGGGGCAUACAGCAGCUAUCAAGUUAAAUCCAGGCAACUGGAUCGGUGUCAUGGCCAAGUGGGGGGCUUGUUGAAGUGAGUUUGACCCGAGGUUGAGGGUUUGCACACAGUACUGACGUGGCCACUCAGCUCUAGGGAAACCCGUCUGUUGUCCUGCCACACAGAGCAGCGAAAUCGAAGCUUCCGUACGGCAACAGAUUGCAUUCCCAGCUACACCCUUCUCACCCUGUCCAGGUCCUCGGAGACAACCAGUUUUAUUAAUUGUAGCCAUUCCAUCUGCUUUUAAAAAAAUUUCCAAAACACAUGCCUCUGCUACUCCGUCUGCAGUUAGGGUGGAGGAGAAUUUAACACUCACACCCCUCUGCGCAGAACUUCUGUCCCCUCCCUCUGGUUAAAUCAUGGUUUAGAGGAAGUGGUGACUGGAUUGGCCUCACACUGCUGAUUCCAUGGUGUCCAGUGAUCGCACCCCCCUUGUUGAAUAACAUUUUAACACUGACAUUGCUGCUGAGAUAACUGUAGAUUCAUACACAGAUGUGAAGAAUGACAGGGUAGGUCCCUUGAACACGUUUUCAGCAGCUGUCACUGAUGGCCUGAACAACGCGGGAGCCCGGCUCUUUCCAAGGGGGAUUCGGUGUGCUGCUGGCUUUCUGUUGUCACCCGUGAAACGUGCACCACCGUAAUAAACCUGGGGGCUUGAAGGGCGGAGAGUGGCCUUGCCGGCCCCUCGGCGGAG
This is an RNA transcript of Lagenorhynchus albirostris (white-beaked dolphin), 5804 nucleotides long. It is a transcript of the gene named NMDA receptor synaptonuclear signaling and neuronal migration factor, with no coding region annotated. The record is from RefSeq and is a predicted model, not a curated record. The transcript has 21 exons. Lineage: Eukaryota; Metazoa; Chordata; Mammalia; Artiodactyla; Delphinidae.